Molecule: long non-coding RNA, 1906 nt
Organism: Xenia sp. Carnegie-2017
Lineage: Eukaryota; Metazoa; Cnidaria; Anthozoa; Malacalcyonacea; Xeniidae
Exons: 3
Source: RefSeq, a predicted model, not a curated record
AAGGACAUGACAGUAAUAACUGUCGUUUUUCAGAAAUAUCUCCUUGACAGGUUUUUCUAAUUUGCUACAACCAAAUUUGCAACUUUUGCCAACAGACGAUUUUAUGGAAGACUUGAAUUUGGUACUGGUACCGACAGAGAGAUGCGUUCUUGUCAUUUCUUGCUGAAAAGUACGUCGUCCAUCAAAGCUCCUCAGUUCGUACAUAUGUAAAAUUGCCAUAUACCAGCUGUUAUCCUUCUGUUAAAAAUGCCUCCUUGUUUAUCAAAAUCAAUAAUGAGAGACGUCUACGCCAUUUAUCCACAAAAGUAUAAUGUUGUACCACAAUACAACCAAACGAUCAUUUCUAUGCUCCAAAAUAGACCUGAGCGAAGUCCUAUCGCUAGAACUGAUAUGUACGAUAUUGUGAGCUUGCUUUACAUGUCGAAUGAGUUGGUUGAAAAAGAGAUCAUGAAAAGUGAAGGAGAAAAUGCACUCUCGUUUAUUCUGUCUCAUCUUGAUGAUCAAUCAAUGACGGUUUACUUGGAACCUACAUUAAGAAUUUUUUUAAGUGUACUAUAUUUACGAAUAACGCCCUUCCUCUUUUUUCGUACAAUGAAAACUGCCAAAACCAUUGGUUUACGCAGAAUUUUUCACGUCGUAAUGAAGCAAGGGACCAAACUAAUCAAGAAGUAAAGAUUUUUAAUGCAAAUAACAAAGAUGAAGCAAUUAGAUAUAUCAUCGAGGUUGAAGGAUUAAAGAAAGAAGAAGCCGACAACUAGCGACCACAGUUGACUCGCUGUCAUGAAUUUCAGUUUUUUACCUUGAUUUUCAUCAUUAAUUUUCUUGUCAAAUGCCAAAUACGAAAAUACGUUUUUCUCACUCUUUCUUCGGGGGGGAGAUGAGAAAUUGCAAAAUUUUCUGCAAAGCAGUCAAUCUCGGUAAAUCUUAGCGGAAAUAUGUCAAUUAUGUAAAACUCGUACUGUCUUGAAUUUUUCACCACCUUUCUGGAAUUUGCCAACGGGAAUGAAAGAAAAUCGGUCACAGAUCACGGACUAUAAAUUCAAUGGUGUCGCUUCUUAGCAAUUCUGAUUGGUUAACCGAAUAACAUAAAUAACAGGACGGACAAAACUCACACGGACUAUAUAGUCGAUGACAGAGACACAGAACGCACGGACUCAAGUGUAUGGUAUACUCAACGAAUUAAAACAAUUUUCAAUUUCUAUUUUUUCCUAUUUCCGGUUAACUUGAUUUCCCGACAGCAGCAUAGACAUGGGUUGCAAGCUUAGCAAAAAAUCCAACAACAACAGAAGGUUGGAACAUGGGGAACAUGAAGUAAGUAAUGGUGAACAAAUUGUUCACCAUAAUCUUGAAGAAGUGACGGCAGGAAUAGAAAAGAGUGGAAGACGUCAUCCCAUACAAGAGACUCUAAUGGAGGAAUUCAAUUUUUUACCUCAUGUCUUGGAUUUGAUAAGAGAACAUGGAUGUACGAUGGAAGCGCUGGAUGAUUUUGUGUUGAAUGUUCAGUCAACACAAGAAGAAGUUUAAGUCAGAAUGUAUUAGUUGCCAACUUUCAGGUCCGUUUUUCAAACGUCGCAUUUUACUUGAGCCGAAUGCAUUUAAAACAAAACAUAGCAAGGAAUUUAUCUAAGUUUAAAACUGUCUCAAGUAUAGAAAGAACCAUUCAAUAUAUUAUAGUAAAAAUAACCAUUCACUAUAUAAUAGUGUAAAAUGUAAGCACUUGAAAACGCAUCUUGUUUCAAAAACGGAAACUUUCAAGGACAUAUUUGUUUACAUCUUGCGUAACUUAUUGACAAUUAAUUAAUGUAACCAUUUAAUAACUUUCCUUAAAUUUUUGUAUGUAAAGAUAUAUUUAUUUUUCUAUUUAUGUCAUUAUUAACUUUGAAUGAAAUGAUAAUUUUCGAUGUAA